GACGAACGCUGGCGGCGCGCUUAACACAUGCAAGUCGAACGGAAAGGCCUGCUUUCCCUUGUGGAUUGCGGGUACUCGAGUGGCGAACGGGUGAGUAACACGUGAGUGAUCUGCCCCCAACUUGGGUAUAAGCCUGGGAAACUGGGUCUAAUUCCCGAUAGGACUGCAGGGUGGUGCCUGUGGUGGAAAACGAUUUUCUAGUGGUUGGGGAUGAGCUCGCGGCCUAUCAGCUUGUUGGUGGGGUAAUGGCCUACCAAGGCGGCGACGGGUAGCCGGCCUGAGAGGGUGGACGGCCACAUUGGGACUGAGAUACGGCCCAGACUCCUACGGGAGGCAGCAGUGGGGAAUAUUGCACCAUGGGCGGAAGCCUGAUGCAGCGACGCCGCGUGGGGGAUGACGGCCUUCGGGUUGUAAACUCCUUUCGACCGCGAGGAAGCCACCUGGUUGGAAGGGUGGUGACGGUAGUGGUAGAAGAAGCACCGGCUCACUACGUG
RNAcentral lists this ribosomal RNA (494 nucleotides) under uncultured bacterium. Its description in RNAcentral is "partial 16S ribosomal RNA". It matches the Rfam family "Bacterial small subunit ribosomal RNA", at positions 28 to 507 of the family's 1533-position model. The record is from RNAcentral.